Molecule: long non-coding RNA, 869 nt
Organism: Daphnia carinata
Lineage: Eukaryota; Metazoa; Arthropoda; Branchiopoda; Diplostraca; Daphniidae
Exons: 2
Source: RefSeq, a predicted model, not a curated record
AAAGAGGAUAUUACGUUAUAAUUGUUGCUAUUGGCAAUGCUGUUAGCUCGCACGAUCAGAGGAUUGUACUUAAAAAUAAGUCACGUCAAAACAUUGAUAUGCAUAGUCGUUUUUUCCCACAAAGAUACACUGACCUAACUGACGCAUAGUUGAGCUUACGUCGCAAUCUUUGGGAUUUUCUUUGUUUCAACGGUGCCAAGAUUGUUUGAAUACUUCCUGCGAUGACGUGACGUACCGGAGCGAACUGGUUUCAUUUUCGUGUCCUUCAGCUACCGUCUUGGCUUAUAAAGAGUUGAGUACGGGCUCGUUAGUUUCAGUCGAACGUCGAGCAAGUCAACAAGUCCCAUACCAAUUCAAGAUGAAGCAUUAUCAGUUGUUUUCACUGCUUGUGAUUGUUGUAGUCCUUUUCUCUGCAGCUUUGAGUUGCAAUCCUGGUUCUAAACCGGAAGAAGCUUCAUCAAGACCUGGUACUCUUCCCCCUAACUUUGAUGAAGAUUUGAAUUCUGGAGAGUUUAGUGGACAUGAGUGUGGUCCAGUGCAUGGAAAAUGCCCACACGAACAAUGCUGUUCUUUACGCAAUGAAUGUGGAAACUCAACUUCACACUGCAAUUUGUCCUUAGGGUGCAAGAAGAAGUGGGGUAUUUGUCAUUGAUUUCUCUAACGGAGACCACAGAAAACAUUUGUCUCUAAUCUUAAAAAUGCAUUGUUGCAUUUAGACAAAGACCGAGUUAUUUUUAAAACAAUCUCAAUCAAACAAUGACAAGUGUUGUUACUAUUUCUCAUACUAAGUGGUGGAGUUGCUAAUCCUUUGUGUCCUGUUAUGAUCGUUUUAUGUUUACAAUUUCUAAAAUAAAACUAUUACUGAUUGA